GUGAACGCUAGCGAUAGGCUUAACACAUGCCAGUCGAGGGGUAACGUGUUGGAAGCUUGCUUCCGAUGACGACGACCGGCGGAUGGGUGCGUAACGCGUAUGCAACUUGCCUCACAGUGGAGAAUAACCCGGAGAAAUCCGGACUAAUACUCCAUACACUCUUAAGUACGCCUGUACAUGAGAGGAAAGAUUUAUCGCUGUGAGAUAGGCAUGCGUCCUAUUAGGUAGUUGGUGAGGUAACGGCUCACCAAGCCGACGAUAGGUAGGGGUGCUGAGAGGCAGAUCCCCCACAUUGGGACUGAGACACGGCCCAAACUCCUACGGGAGGCAGCAGUGAGGAAUAUUGGUCAAUGGAGGAAACUCUGAACCAGCCAAGUCGCGUGAAGGAAGAAUGUCCUAAGGAUUGUAAACUUCUUUAGCGAGCGAGUAAGGACUUCCACGUGAUGGGAGUUUGAAAGUAGCUCGAGAAUAAGUAUCGGCUAACUCCGUG
RNAcentral lists this ribosomal RNA (490 nucleotides) under uncultured bacterium. RNAcentral describes it as "partial 16S ribosomal RNA". It matches the Rfam family "Bacterial small subunit ribosomal RNA", at positions 29 to 507 of the family's 1533-position model. The record is from RNAcentral.